RNAcentral lists this small RNA (29 nucleotides) under Bombyx mori (domestic silkworm). Its description in RNAcentral is "ovarian small RNA-18588". The record is from RNAcentral. Lineage: Eukaryota; Metazoa; Arthropoda; Insecta; Lepidoptera; Bombycidae.
UAACACUUUAUCACAGUCUAAUAUUCUUC